CGCUCGCUCCAUGCUAUGGUCAACCACGACCGAAUCCCCCUGACCCCACCGCAUGGCUCCAAGCCAUCCCAGGUGCCCCAACCGCUCGAACCCUAAUCCAAAGUCGCCGCCGCGUGCAGCCAUCUCUGCCCCUCGCCGCGCCGUCUAGGUGCAUCACCCAUAGUCGCUCGGUACACCGUCGUCUCCGUCUCCUUCCCCGCGCACUUUCAUCCAGCGCGCACCCGUAGCCGAUAUCCACGACGAAUUUGUCCUCCCUCUCGCCAAAUUGUUUGCCUACUACAGGAUUUGGAGACAAGAGUGACCAAGAGAAGCACCUGCCCCUGCAUGCACAAGAAAUCGGAACCGAUCGGCCAGGAUGCGCCGACGAACCGCUUCAGGUAUCGCCUCCUUACUCACUCCAGCGGCAUCUAAAGACAGAGGUGGCAUGCGCUGAUAAGAUCUGGCUGAGAUUGUGGGCUAGUUCCAUGCUAGCCUCACGUGGAUCCCAAUCCGCGGUGUCGGCGCUCAGGAUGCUCUGCUUCUCGAAGGAAGAGGUUGACGCACUGGUGGAGCAUAUGAAUGGCGAUAUGCGCGUCAGAUUUGUUGGUGUUCCUGUGGCGCUGAACAAGGAAUCAUAAAAGCAUAUGGAGGAACUAUGUAUAAGCUACAAAGAAGCAUUUUUAUAGCAGAAGCCAAGUGUUCUGAUGAUUUUGUUUUUUCAAUUGUGUUUUCUGUUAUUGGUUUAGCAUGCACAUAUAUUGAAAUGAUUUAUGGCAUCGCAUCUGCUAUCUUUGUUAUAUUUAUGACAUCGUUCUUGAUUGAUGUGUGCGAUAUGAAUGAUGGAUCUUUUUAACAUCCUGACCAUUAUUGUGUCGCUCAUUAUCGUAUUUUGUAUAUCAUUUAUGGGUUCACGGAUAUGAAAUGACAGGUUUCUUAUUUUUGAGAU
Zea mays is the source of this 925-nucleotide long non-coding RNA. RefSeq lists it as uncharacterized. NCBI's taxonomy places the organism in Eukaryota, Viridiplantae, Streptophyta, Magnoliopsida, Poales, Poaceae. The transcript has 2 exons. The record is from RefSeq and is a predicted model, not a curated record.